CCCCGAAAGCCCCGGCCCUACCCGGGGCACUGCAUUAGCACCCGGCCGGCCCGAGUCUUGUAGCGGGGCGUAGAAUUCCAGGGGUAGCGGUGAAAUGCGUAGAGAUCUGGAGUAAUACCGGUGGCGAAGGCGGCCCCCUGGACAAUGACUGACGCUCAGGUGCGAAAGCGUGGGGAGAAAACAGUAUUAGAUACCCUGGUAGUCCACGCCGUAAACGAUGUCGACU
RNAcentral lists this ribosomal RNA (226 nucleotides) under Erwinia sp. PsM31. RNAcentral's name for it is "partial 16S ribosomal RNA". It matches the Rfam family "Bacterial small subunit ribosomal RNA", at positions 593 to 817 of the family's 1533-position model. The record is from RNAcentral. Lineage: Bacteria; Pseudomonadati; Pseudomonadota; Gammaproteobacteria; Enterobacterales; Erwiniaceae.